UCGAACGGAGAAUUUAGCAGAGUUUUGAGAUAAGAAAUGAGCUUAUCGAAUAACGUAUCUGGGUCCCCCUUUUAUAGGCGGAGGAAGCAACGAAUUGAUGGCGACGUUUGUAACCGUCUGGCAGUGGACUGUCCAGGGUCAGGCGGAGUUUGCUGCGAAGCGUAGUGGAACGGACCCGUGGCUAUCGCUGGGGCGUGCCACGUGG
Molecule: long non-coding RNA, 205 nt
Filed under: Elaeis guineensis (African oil palm)
Lineage: Eukaryota; Viridiplantae; Streptophyta; Magnoliopsida; Arecales; Arecaceae
Description: long non-coding RNA (EGUI_LNC074006)
Source: RNAcentral